This 253-nucleotide ribosomal RNA is filed under the name uncultured bacterium. Its description in RNAcentral is "partial 16S ribosomal RNA". It matches the Rfam family "Bacterial small subunit ribosomal RNA", at positions 524 to 776 of the family's 1533-position model. The record is from RNAcentral.
UACGUAGGGUGCAAGCGUUGUCCGGAAUUAUUGGGCGUAAAGAGCUCGUAGGCGGUCUGUCGCGUCGGCUGUGAAAUCCCGAGGCUCAACCUCGGGUCUGCAGUCGAUACGGUCAAACUAGAGUAUUGCAGGGGAGACUGGAAUUCCUGGUGUAGCGGUGAAAUGCGCAGAUAUCAGGAGGAACACCGGUGGCGAAGGCGGGUCUCUGGGCCGUAACUGACGCUGAGGAGCGAAAGCAUGGGGAGCGAACAGG